UACAGAGGGUGCGAGCGUUAAUCGGAAUUACUGGGCGUAAAGCGCACGUAGGCGGCUUGGUAUGUCGGGUGUGAAAUCCCCGGGCUCAACCUGGGAACUGCAUCCGAAACUGCCUUGCUCGAGUAUGGGAGAGGGAAGUGGAAUUUCCGGUGUAGCGGUGAAAUGCGUAGAGAUGCGGAGGAACACCGAUGGCGAAGGCAGCCCCCUGGGCUAGCACUGACGCUCAGGCACGAAAGCGUGGGGAGCAAACAGG
This 253-nucleotide ribosomal RNA is filed under the name uncultured bacterium. RNAcentral's name for it is "partial 16S ribosomal RNA". It matches the Rfam family "Bacterial small subunit ribosomal RNA", at positions 524 to 776 of the family's 1533-position model. The record is from RNAcentral.